This 465-nucleotide ribosomal RNA is filed under the name uncultured bacterium. RNAcentral describes it as "partial 16S ribosomal RNA". It matches the Rfam family "Bacterial small subunit ribosomal RNA", at positions 28 to 507 of the family's 1533-position model. The record is from RNAcentral.
GACGAACGCUGGCGGCGUGCUUAACACAUGCAAGUCGAACGGAAAGGCCCCUUUGGGGGUCCUCGAGUGGCGAACGGGUGAGUAACACGUGAGUAACCUGCCCUUGACUUCGGGAUAACUUUAGGAAACUGGGGCUAAUACUGGAUAGGAAUCCUUGCUGCAUGGUGGGGGUUGGAAAGUUUCGGCGGGUUUGGAUGGACUCGCGGCUUAUCAGCUUGUUGGUGGGGUAGUGGCUUACCAAGGCUUUGUCGGGUAGCCGGCCUGGGAGGGCGACCGGCCACAUUGGGACUGAGAUACGGCCCAGACUCCGACGGGAGGCAGCAGUGGGGAAGAUUGCACAAUGAGCGGAGGCCUGAUGCAGCAACGCCGCGUGCGGGAUGACGGCCUUCGGGUUGUAAACCGCUUUCAGCAGUGGCGAAGCUUGUGGUGACGGUACCUGCAGAAGAAGCACCGGCUAACUACGUG